This 949-nucleotide long non-coding RNA is filed under the name Marmota monax (woodchuck). Lineage: Eukaryota; Metazoa; Chordata; Mammalia; Rodentia; Sciuridae. The record is from RNAcentral.
UUUCACAGUCUUCAUGUGGUCUGUUAUUUAGCUGAAAAAAAAAUGAGAGUUUAAGUUUUUAUGGAAGAAAGAGUAGUUUUCUGGUGUAGGAUCAAGGUAAAAAUCUCUAGAAACAGUUGCCCAAGCACUUCCCAAAUUAACACCAUUAAUUUUCACCUCCAGUUGCAACUAACAUUAUAUUUCCAUAUCAUGAGGUUAAAAUGCCUGGAAUAUAUUUAUAAAGCAUAUAGCUAAUGCUGGGCAUAGUGGUACAUGCCCAUAAUCCCAGCAACUCAGAAGACUGAGGCAGGAAGAUGCAAAUUAGAGGCCAGCCUCAACAAUUUAGCAAGACUCUAAGCAAUUUAGUGAGACACUAUCUCAAAACACAAAUUAAGAAGGGCUGGGAUGUGGUUCAGUGGUCAAGUGCUCUGGGUUUAAAUCCCUGGUACCAAACACACACACACACACACACACAAAAAAAAAAAAACAUAUAUCAUUCAAUGAAAGAAAAUAAGUAUGAAAUAAUUUUCUUGGCAAAAAAAAUCUUUGCACAAUUUUUAGGAUAUAUUAUCUAUAUGGGAUAAAAUGUUGAAAAAUUCAUAUACAUAUAUCUCAUAUAUAUCUUUCUUCCUGAGGCAAAAUGAUCAUUCGGGGAGUAGAAUUCCAAUGGAAACUUUGGAAUUGAAUAUAUUUGACAUCAUAUAUUUAUAAUUCAUGACAUUUUUAGAGGAGUCUGCUGUAUGACAUAUUUUAGAGGCAGUGAGAAUCAGGAGCUCUAAGGCCUGAGAUAAGAAACAAUUUCUUCUUUUGGGAGAGGUAUAUGAAAUUCUCCUGAAUUGAAUAAUAAAGAGCUAGAAACCUUGAAAGAUACAGAGAAAACUUUAGGCAGGUUUCACUAGAAUUCAGUGCUUUGGACCCUUGAAAAUCAGACAUUUCCUCACAAUAUGGCCUCCAACCACUUGAAUUCAUU